Molecule: long non-coding RNA, 1980 nt
Organism: Aphis gossypii (cotton aphid)
Lineage: Eukaryota; Metazoa; Arthropoda; Insecta; Hemiptera; Aphididae
Exons: 3
Source: RefSeq, a predicted model, not a curated record
GUUUUUCAGACGAAGGACCAAAAAACAAAAGCAAUCACUUUUAACGAGAGUACACCCGAAUACGGAGACGACGAGCGUGCAACCUCAGUUGAGAUCGGCAAUACUAUUAGCGAGUAGUCACGAACAUGGAGAUAAUAUGUGAUAACGCUGAUAAACGGACGGACACUGAUGCAAAUAUGCUCUCGGUCGGACCAAAGGAAGUGGAAACUACAACAAUUUAAAUACCUACCUAUUAAUAAUUCAGGCCACAGUUAAUCCCACCAAGCAAGGUUAUAUUUGUUAGAAAAUAAUAAUUAAACAAUAAUUUUAUUUUAUUAUAACAGCUAUUUAAAAAAAAAAUGUUGUAAUCAACUCGUUUUAGACUGAAUAAAUCAAAUAAUAAGUAGGUAGAUGCAUUUUUAAGUAGGUACCUACCUAUUUAAUUAUUUUGAUUUUUCGAUAAAUUCCUAGUUGAUACCUAGUAGUUUUCAUAAGCUGGGUGAAAUAAAGUAAAAACAUAUUGUACACCUAUUAACCCUAUUAACUUAUUAUAUAGGUACUUAACCGUAUAAUUUAUAGACAUUAGAUUGGCAUCCAAAACAUGUCGAUGAAAUACCUACAAGCAACCCUAAUUUUUGUACGACACGUUAUCGAAUUAAUUUUUUCCCAUCUAAUGAUUUAUCAUUGCUCUUAGAUUUAUUGAUUACUGUUAUAACUCGAACAUUUUUUUGUCAGGAUUCAUACUUAAGGUAUUCGAUGUUAUUAUGAUUUGUAAACAAUAUUAUUAAUAUUUUAAGUAGGUGGGUAUUUACGAAUACACACAAGAUACAACAAUCAACAGUGUAACAGACCGUACUUGCCUGUUUAAACAGAUAUUAAUCAUAUUAUUAUGCACGUGUUUAUGCGACGUGAUACUGCGUGUUAAUAAAAAACAAAAGAGACUGACUAUAUUUCAAUAAUAUCAUAAAAAACUAUCAAAGUAAGAUUUUUAAAUUGACAUUAUACCUACGACAUAAUAAUGCGAAAUCGUCGAAGUGCAUUAGAUUAUUUACUAUAAUAUAGUGUACCUAUAUAAGUAGUUAAACAGUAUUAUUUGUACCUAUAUAGGUAUAUAUCAUUUAUAGAUCAUUAUUCAUUGGCAUAUCCGAAGCUCGGUCAUAAGAUGGAAGAAUUAACAUUUAUUAAAUUCUUAGUAUACUUAUACGAUGAGGAAGGAGUGUUGGGAAUCCACGGCACAACUCAGUAGAUAGUUACUUACCAGUCAUGCUAUUUUUUUUUUAACGACAAUAUUCAUUCUUAUUUGAUUUAAUUUUAAUUUUAAUUUAGCAAUGCCUGUUAAUCGCUCUGUCACAACUCACGAUCCGUAAAUAUGUUAUAAUAUAAUAAUAUGUUAUCGUUUAGCCGUAUACGCGCACCAUAAUUUAUAAUAAUAUGAAUAUCUAAGUUUUAUAAAAUAUUAUAUAUACCUAUUUUUUUGUAAAGAUUAUUAAUUAAAUAUUUUAAUCGUUUUUAAAUUUUUUAUCUUUUUGUAAUUUUGUCAACGCAAUAAUUAUACCCACCCAUGAUAAUAUCGAAAUUAAUUUUGAUUUGUAAGCACGUUUCUAUAUAUUUUUUUAAUUGGAGACGUAGGAUUAUAGGAGUAGGUCCCUAUGUUUGCUUCGUCUGAUCCAUAAUUAUAGAUAAUUGAUCUUAUUUAUUUUAUAAAAUUCACAAAGUCAUGUCCAAAGCUCCAUGAACAAGUGGUGUACCAAUAAUAAUCAAAAUGGGAAAGGGGAGUAGAAGACAAAAUUUGUUGAGGAACCAGGAAAAUUUUGAAGUUAUAGGUAAAUCCGAGUAAUUAAAUGUUACUAAAUGUAUAGGUUUAAUUAAAAAUAUUACUGUCUUGUGAUUGUGUGUGAGAUCAAUAUUGAGCGUUUUACUAGCAAAAUAAACAAAUAAAUUAUUUAAUUCACUGUUAUUAUAUUAUACAAUAUAAGGUUAUAAAAUUUUUUUAUAUCUCAA